This 228-nucleotide long non-coding RNA is filed under the name Olea europaea (common olive). RNAcentral's name for it is "long non-coding RNA (OEUR_LNC013512)". The record is from RNAcentral. Lineage: Eukaryota; Viridiplantae; Streptophyta; Magnoliopsida; Lamiales; Oleaceae.
AUCUAAAAACCCAGCAGAAAAUGGCAUCAUUUUGGUGCAGAGUUGUUGCCGAAGUAAGUGGAUUCCAAGGAAUUUAAAAUUUUGAGAUCCAUCUGCAGAAUUGCACUUGCGGAGGGUAGAAAACUUCAUGUUUCUGGGUAUCAAAUAUAUUGCUGCACUUUACUCCUUGAGUUGGUUUCCUUGCUUUGCAUAUGGGCACAUUUGAAUUGUUGAUUAGACUGUAUAGCC